UUUCGCCCCUAUGCCCAAAUUUGACGAUCGAUUUGCACGUCAGAACCGCUGCGAGCCUCCACCAGAGUUUCCUCUGGCUUCACCCUAUUCAAGCAUAGUUCACCAUCUUUCGGGUCCCAACAGCCAUGCUCUUACUCAAAUCCAUCCGAAGACAUCAGGAUCGGUCGAUGGUGCACCCUAAAGGGAUCCCACCUCCGUUCACUUUCAUUACGCGCUCGGGCUUGACACCCAAACACUCGCAUAGAUGUUAGACUCCUUGGUCCGUGUUUCAAGACGGGCCGCUUACAGCCAUUACGCCAGCAUCCUAGCAGAUGCGCGGACCUCAGUCCAGGCUGGUCGCAUUACGCCUCCCCUAUAAGGCCACCCCGAAGGGAGGUACAUGACAGAGGCCUUUAUCCGACCGCCCAGACUGAUGCUGGCCUGCCCGCAGAAGAGUGCACCGGGCAAAAGCCCGGAUGAGCAACUACAGGCAAGUCUGGCUGCAAGCGCUUCCCUUUCAACAAUUUCACGUGCUAUUUGACUCUCUUUCCAAAGUGCUUUUCAUCUUUCGAUCACUCUACUUGUGCGCUAUCGGUCUCUGGCCAGUAUUUAGCUUUAGAAGAAAUUUACCUCCCAUUUAGAGCUGCAUUCCCAAACAACUCGACUCGUCGAAGGGGCUUUACACGGCGAAGGCCAGCGACCACGUACGGGAUUCUCACCCUCUGUGACGUCCUGUUCCAAGGAACUUGGACCGCUGCCAACGCCAAAGCGCCCUCUGCAAAUUACAACUCGGACCCUGAAAGAGCCAGAUUUCAAAUUUGAGCUGAUGCCGCUUCACUCGCCGUUACUAGGGCAAUCCCUGUUGGUUUCUUUUCCUCCGCUUAUUGAUAUGCUUAAGUUCAGCGGGGUAUCCCUACCUGAUCCGAGGUCAAGAGUUAAAAUGUAGGCUUCAUGGACGCAAGCGUUCAAGACAAGAUGCGCAAAAUGUGCUGCGCUCCCCAGGCUAGUACGCCGGCUGCCAAUUGCUUU
RNAcentral lists this unclassified non-coding RNA (1008 nucleotides) under Neocucurbitaria sp. FMR 17552. Its description in RNAcentral is "sequence contains 28S rRNA gene". Lineage: Eukaryota; Fungi; Ascomycota; Dothideomycetes; Pleosporales; Cucurbitariaceae. The record is from RNAcentral.